AUUGAACGCUGGCGGCAUGCCUUACACAUGCAAGUCGAACGGUAACAGGUCUUCGGAUGCUGACGAGUGGCGAACGGGUGAGUAAUACAUCGGAACGUGCCUAGUAGUGGGGGAUAACUACUCGAAAGAGUGGCUAAUACCGCAUGAGAUCUACGGAUGAAAGCAGGGGAUCGCAAGACCUUGUGCUACUAGAGCGGCCGAUGGCAGAUUAGGUAGUGGGUGGGAUAAAAGCUUACCAAGCCGACGAUCUGUAGCUGGUCUGAGAGGACGAUCAGCCACACUGGGACUGAGACACGGCCCAGACUCCUACGGGAGGCGGCAGUGGGGAAUUUUGGACAAUGGGCGCAAGCCUGAUCCAGCAAUGCCGCGUGCAGGAUGAAGGCCUUCGGGUUGUAAACUGCUUUUGUACGGAACGAAAAGCCCCGGGUUAAUACCCUAGGGUCAUGACGGUACCGUAAGAAUAAGCACCGGCUAACUACGUGCCAGCAGCCGCCGUAA
This 498-nucleotide ribosomal RNA is filed under the name uncultured bacterium. Its description in RNAcentral is "partial 16S ribosomal RNA". It matches the Rfam family "Bacterial small subunit ribosomal RNA", at positions 30 to 523 of the family's 1533-position model. The record is from RNAcentral.